This 493-nucleotide long non-coding RNA is filed under the name Equus caballus (horse). Its description in RNAcentral is "lncRNA (ENSECAG00000028510.2)". The record is from RNAcentral. Lineage: Eukaryota; Metazoa; Chordata; Mammalia; Perissodactyla; Equidae.
CAGGACACACAGCUGGGGAGCAGCACAGUCAUGGUGAGAAAAAAGGCCCUGAGAAGGAAAAUGACUCAACUCAAGGACACCCAGCCAGUUGGUGAAGAAGUUGACACCAUGUUCUACAGGAAUAAAACUGACUCCGUGGAACUGUUGUGAAGUGGGGAGGAGUUGUUGCUUGGAGCUGCGCAGCUUGGGCCAAGCAUUUGCGUCUGGGAGUGCAUCUGUGAUUAGUUCUCAUCAACCCAAUGUGAGCAGAAGAGAUGUGUCUACUUCUAGGCCUGGCUCAUCAAAAAACCUCCCACGGACAAACCUUCGCGUUCUUUCCCUUGACGGAGAAGAGCACAGAGAGCUUGGAAGCCACGUGUUGAAGAUGGUGGAGCCACAAGACGGAAGGAUGCUGGGCUCCCCUAAUUGUGCUUGGCGGAACCCUCCGUCACUCAUUAGGGGUGCCAUGCUAGACUUGCUGUGAAUGAGAAAUAAACUUCUAUUGUAUUGGAGC